AGCCAAGCCAAAGGCGGAGAAUGAAGCAGGAAGGUGGCAGCCGUGGAAGGCAACUGCUCAGACCACCGAGCUGUGGUGCGGGGCCCAGGCAGAGUGGGCAGAAGCGACCUGCAGAUGAGCUGGGCUUUGCUGGAAUGGAAAGGAGGCUGGGGGCGCAGGGGAGGAAGAGAUCGGCUGGGAGGAGCAGAGCUGCUGCCACACCGAGUGGGCACAACAUGGACAAGUGAAUGAAAGCGAGUGACCGGUGGGCUUUGCCAUCCUUGUAUCACACGAGCGCCUCCACCCUUCCUGACAACAGAUUCCAAGGCACCUUCUCCCAACCUGCUGACUCAGACUCAGCGGGAAAGAAGGCCAUGUGAUAACCAGCAGACCAGGGAACUCAGAGAUCAAGUCUGGAAGUCAUCUGGUUCCCCGAGGCACCGUUGAACUGCCUGGGCAGGCCCUAGGCCUGAGAUGCUGAGGCCUCCAGGUUCCAGGGCAGAAGGUACGGUGGCACUGUGGGGACUCAGGAGGGAGCUAAUCCAGGCUCUGGUGACCUCAGCCGCUCCCACGUUCUCUGGGCCUCUGGUCCCGCUCUGGAGAGGAGGCACUCUGUCUCCGGUCUGCUUCAAAGCUGCUGCUGGACACAGACUGGGGCCCAGGCCGGGGACCUGCAGCUCCUGCCUUCAGCACGUAGCAGUCACUUGUCCAGCAGCCCUCUUUGCCUCUCUGAGACUUGGCUUCUGCACAGCCACAUGGGACCAUAAAAGCCUACAGGCUCUUGUGAGCAUUUUUUCCCCUCUUCUUUUAAGAAAACUGUGGUAAAAUACACAUCCCAUAAAAGUUGCCAUUUGAACCAUAUUUAAGUGUCUUAAUUCAGUAGCAUUACAUGCCCUCACACUGUUGUGCAAACAUCACCACCAUUAAUUUCCAGAACUUUUGCAACUUCCCAAACGAAAUCUCUAUCCCCAUUUAACACUAACUCUCCACUGCCCCCCUCUCUCAGCCCCGGUCCCCCACCAGUCUACUUUCUGUCUCUGUGAAUGUGACUGUUCUAGAUGCCUCAUAGCUCUUGUCCUUUUGUUAGAGGCAGAUUUCACCGGGUACAAUGCCCUUAAGGUUCAUCCAUGUUGCAGCCCGUGUCAGAAUUUCUAUCCUUUUCAAGGCCAAAUAGCAUCCCACUGUAUGGAUGGACCACAUGGUCCUGCAGGGUCAUCUCUUAUUUGAUCCCAUCCAUAGGGCUGGUGCUUCUCAAUGUUUCCAUCUUACAUCCCGGCUGGCAAUAAUAAUAAUGAUGAUGAUGGGACUCCCCUGAUGGUCCAGUGGCUAAGAUUCUGAGCUCCCAAUGUACAGGGACCAGGUUCAAUCCCUGGUCAGGGAACUACAUCCUUCAUGCUGCAACCUGCUCUCCAGGUGGCCUAGGAAAUAGUUGCUUCAUCCCUUUGAAGUCCCCUGGGGAACCCUAACUGCUAGGCUGGGUCCUGACCCUGCCAGUCCCAUCAGGGGAGACACAGAGAGACCACUUCUUCUGAGAAACAGAUCCCGUGUGCUGCAACUAAGACCAAACACAGCCAAAUAAAUAAAUACAUAAUUUUUUAAAUGAUGAUGAUGAUAUUUUUUGAGUUGAUGCCUCAAAAUAUGUCUACCCAGAAGCUGUGAAAGUGACCUUAUUUGGACAAAGGGUCUUUGAGGAUGCAAUUAAGUUAAGGAUCUUGAAUGAGGUCAUCUGGAUUAGGGCGCACCCUACAUCCAGUGACACGUUUCCUGAGAGAGGGAUGGGGUGGCGGAGCAGGACAUUGAGCUCACCUCCUCUCACGAGUACACCCAAAUCACAACUGCUGAACCACUCUUGAGAAAAAAGACUGUAACCUACCAAAAAAGAUAUUCUACAUCCAAAGACAUAAAGAAGAAAGCACAAUGACAAGUAUCCUUAAAAGAGACAAAAAAGAAGAAACUUCUCUGGUGGUCCAGUGGCUGCGACUCUGUGCUCCCAAUGCAGGGGGCCCAGAUUCGAUCCCUAGUCAAGGAACUAAGAUCCUGCAUGCCAAGAAAAUAGGGGGAAAAAAAUAAAAAAGAAGGAGAAACCAUAAUGAAACUCACAAUCCUUCUAAGAGACAGAAGAGGAGACAGAAGACGCAGAGGCAGAGAGACCUGAGACCGCAGAAGGGGCACAGAAGAGGGACGUGGCCACAAGCUAAGCAACCCCUGUGACACCAGAGGCUGGGAGAGAUGAGGCAGGAUGCUCACCUGGAGCCUUCGGAGGGAGCACAACCCUGCUGACACCUUGAUUUCGGACUUCUGGCCUCCACAACCAUGGAGAAUCAAUUUCCACUGAUAAAAGCUGCGCAAUUUGCGGUAGUUUGUUCCGACAGUCCCAGAAAACCAAUACAGGGAUUGUCCAAAGACAGCCCAUUGCAUGCCCUCAAGACCAACCUUUCUAUUUAAUAACCCAGUGUUUUUGUUCCCAUUUCAGAG
This is a long non-coding RNA of Bos taurus (domestic cattle), 2454 nucleotides long. Lineage: Eukaryota; Metazoa; Chordata; Mammalia; Artiodactyla; Bovidae. The record is from Ensembl.